Molecule: long non-coding RNA, 1677 nt
Organism: Pongo abelii (Sumatran orangutan)
Lineage: Eukaryota; Metazoa; Chordata; Mammalia; Primates; Hominidae
Source: Ensembl
GGCCACGCCCACGCCCUCCGGCACGAGCGGAGGGCCACGUGCACAGACCCCGGAGAGGCGCGCACGAGCGGACCCCGACACGCAGGGACACGCAGCACCAGCCGAGAUACGACCGAGGCACGCACGCGCACACACACACUCCAGUCUCCCUCUCCCGGCCGAGGCUGUGCGGUCCACGCUCUCCACCCCUCUCGGACCCCCAGCCGCGGGAGCCGAACAGGGAGGUACCAGGCUAGGCCCUCCCCGUGCUCACCACUGCCGUGACUCUGGGUGCUGGGGUCCCUGCAGCCAGGCCCAAGAGAACCCCAGGGGCUGGCGGUGGCACCAAAAAAACACGUCCAGACCCUGGUUUCACCUUGGCCACAGCGCUGGAGGCGGGCAGGUGAGACACCGCGGGGCCAUGCAGACGGCCAGCACUCGACUUUGCCUAAAAAAGGAAGCAGCAGGCUGAGUCUGAGGAGCUGGCGGCACGAACAAGGGAGAGCUGUGUCCCCGCCGGCGUCCCCUGCCCCCCCCCGCCAGGGAUCUUGGCAGUGGAGGUGUUGGCUGGGCUCCACAGACCUCAGACCUCGGCUGGGACCAGAAAUGCCUGCUGCUUCCGCCUGGGCCCGGUGGGGGGACUUUGGGUCCCCAGAGUGCCAGCUGUGCCACUUCGAGGGGCCUCAGACCUCGGCUGGGACCAGAAAUGCCUGCUGCUUCCGCCUGGGCCCGGUGGGGGGGACUUUGGGUCCCCAGAGUGCCAGCUGUGCCACUUCGAGGGGCCUCGCCAGGCUCCCCAGCCCCGAGUACACAGGGGCUGCUGUGGAGAUGACGCUCAAGGCCGCAGCCGCUGGAGGACCUGGGGUCUGACCGGAAGCUGGCUGCAGACCCUGCGGAGGCACGCCCAGGCCAGGCCUCUGCUCUCCGGGGCUAUGGCCUCCCACAGGCACGUUCCUACACCCCUCUGUGAACUGCCCACAGGCCCCCCCACAGGUGUUCCUCUGUGAGCUGGUCGGGCGGCUGGGGCUGGGGCCGGGCUUUGCCACUCAGUGCCUUCAACCUCCCUGGCGGUUUGGGGCCUCAGGGUGGGCCUGGGAAGCUGGAAACACCUUUGGAAACAGCCGUCUGAAGCAGCUGUGGACAGAAGACCCUGCCCAGCAGCCAAGGGAGCUGGCCUCUCCGCUCAGCCUCCCCACCCCCACCAGGCCCAGCUGUUGUUUUCAUGGCUCCGGGACCAGGCGGAUCCUCAGCCAAGAGCUUCCCAGGAGAGCCCUCAUCUUCAACCCCUAGUGGCGGCCAGAGCCAGCCCAGGCAGGACGGGAAGGAAGGCAGCCGCGGCCCCGGGGAAGCCAUCCUGGCAGCUUGGCCACUGGCCCGGCUCCUGUCUGACCAGGAAAGGCAUCAAAGCCGGACUCGGAUGGAGGCUGGAAAACCCCGAGACUUCUGCUGGACUCGACCCAGCCACACACCAGGCUGUACUCAGGGCCACGGAACAAGCCUCGACCCUGGCCCCAGACGGAGCCCAGACCUUGCUGGUCACGGGCUGAGCCCUGCUGGCAAUAUGAUGUACUAGAUCCCUUAAAAGGCCUUUCAGCAACAACCAACUUCUGGAUGAAUUACUAUGAGCAUACAUUUUUAAUAGACUGCUGUGUUUCCAAGAAGGUAAAUAUCUCUGAGGCUCCCCCAAAAUUAAACAGC